GACAGGCCCCCGGAGGGUGGGGCCCCUGCAGAGAGCCCUUCUCUAGGACGGGGCACCUGCCUAGGGGGCCUGAGAUGAGGUCGGCCUUGGCUCAUCACCUGGGGAGAGUGGAUCUAGGAGGCCCGAGCAAAGCUACCUGGGCCCAGUCUGGGUGGAGCCCCCGAGGCGGGAGGGUGGAGCCUCGCGGACCCUGGCUGGGGUCGGGGCAGAAUCCAGGCCUGGGGAGCUCCAGGUGAGACGGGGAGUCCUCAGCCCAGUCAGCUGUGAGGCCACGGGACCCUGGGACAGGGCGGGCUCUGGCCACUAAACAGCAAAGCAGGCGGAGACAUCCUAUGCCAUUCCACGUGGGAGCCUCAGACUCUCAGGAGUCCUGACUGGCCCCAGGGUCUUUGGCCACGUUUGGAUCCAGGUCGCGUAGGGUCAGGAUCCAGCGUUUCCCGCGGGCUCUGAGGAGAGAAGGGAACCGGAAGGUUCUGGUCCUGUCGGAGAUGUGUGGAGAGUUGCUUUUCCAGAAGAAAUACCAACUCCCACAUUUAAGUUUAGGCAGUUGACCAACUUUGAAAAGCUUGGAACUUUUGUUUGGCGUUGAAGCCACAUGAUCUGUCGCCCAUGGAAACAGCAGAAUUCCAUAAGGACUGGGUGGGGAACCCACACUCUCUACCGGGCGCCAGCCACAGGCUGUCUCUUGCGUGAGUUCUGACGUGAACAACGGAGUAGAACAUGUUGUCAUUUGUUUGUUGACAUCGCGGAUGAAGGAGCAGAAUCCAUUUUGCGGGGAAAGAUGUGGGAACACUGUUGGAUACAGCCGCAGGGGAUCACUGGGCGCCUUAAAGAGAGCGCUUGCUACUUCGUGCUGGGGGAGAAGAGACGAGUGAGUGACUGGUUGCAGAUGAAGAUGAAGCCCUGGGGAUGGGUGUGCUGUGAGUUGAAACGACCCUGGGCUCUGAGUCAUCAUGUGGAGCAGUCCUACGCGCCAACAAAACCACGUGCCUUGGACUGGAAUUUUUACACAUAGAGGGUCUGGAUAAGCAUCAAGAUCCAACAUGUUUUCAACACAUGGCUUGUAUGGACAGAAGAACUACAUACCAAAAUCAAGACAUGUCUGGACAUCUGUAACAAAUGUUGGAAAUAGCCUUCACCAGACUUUUCUGCAGACAUUCCAUUUGGGUUUUCACCAAGAUGUUAAUGAUUGAACAACAACCCGAAAGUGGUUAUCUCAGCCUUCCACUAAAGGAUUGAGACUCUACAUCCAGCUGUCCUUGCACAAGAAACUGUAUUUGCACUUCAACCUUCAAGAUCUUACCAAUAUCUCCUAAUCGUGUUCAUGUUGCCUAUCUUGUCCACUAUUGCUUCAAACUUUACAUCCUCAGUGAUUAUUACUUUCACUCCUAAAUCUUUCGUGUUUUUCCAUCUAUUUUAUCAUGUAAUUCUUCAAUACAAGUACACACUGUUAAGAAUAAUAAAAAAGAAAAAUGCAGUUCCAGC
This 1485-nucleotide long non-coding RNA is filed under the name Rhinopithecus bieti (black snub-nosed monkey). Its description in RNAcentral is "lncRNA (ENSRBIG00000045924.1)". Lineage: Eukaryota; Metazoa; Chordata; Mammalia; Primates; Cercopithecidae. The record is from RNAcentral.